Long non-coding RNA from Xiphophorus couchianus (Monterrey platyfish), 2456 nucleotides. RefSeq lists it as uncharacterized. The record is from RefSeq and is a predicted model, not a curated record. The transcript is spliced from 2 exons. NCBI's taxonomy places the organism in Eukaryota, Metazoa, Chordata, Actinopteri, Cyprinodontiformes, Poeciliidae.
CGUGUUCAGGUAAUCGUUUUUUCUCUGUCCUAUUUGUUUUAGAAAUAUGAGAAUUUUGGUAUUUAAGUUGUCUGUAAACACUCUUCUCGAGCUGAAAGAGUUUAAAAGUUCAUGUCGCCCCCCGAAAAAAAUCCCAAAAGACAAAAAUGUUAGUCUUUACGAGACGCAGUGAACGCAACAUUCCCCUGGUCACACACUUGCUAUUAAGAUGUCCCCACCCACUAAGCCUUAUAUGGUAAGCCCCGCCCACUCGCACACAACCAAACCCCAGCAUGCAAAGUUCAGUUGACUCGUUAUCAGCGGUCAGCAGGGGAUCGAUGGAGUAAAUAAACUGAGUCCCAGUUUGAAGCUAUUUUCCAACAAAAACAGCUGCAAAGCGACGUGCAAACACCGUUUGUGUGUUUUAUGUUGUUUAAUUUGGGUUUCUUAGUGAAAGUGAACCAUGUUUCCACCGCAGAAUCUGACUGCAUACAUUUCAGAGAUGAAAAAACCCUGAAAGUUCUGCUUUGGUGUUUUUGGGUCAAUGACAUCACAAGAGGCAACAGAUUGGAGCUAAUCGACACUUUGAUGGAUAAGGAGACUUUUCACACAUUUCAACACAUUCUGAAGAGUUGGAGAUGCAAAGAGCCCAGCGGACCACGACGGAUCCAGAGUCUGCAAUGGAUUCUGCAGUGGGCGGAGAACCCGAAGCAAACGGUCUCCAUGACAACGUUAACUGGCGCAAAUCUGUUCAUAUGUCUGUUUGGACUACAGCAAUUUCCUAUUAGUAUAUCUUCCCAAAAACAACUCCUGAUUAGUGAGCAAUUAUUCUUUUUCUUUCUCCAACUUCUUUUUUAAUAUUCCAAAAUUACAUGUUUUAAAAAAAACCCCAGCAGCAACACAUAAAAAAAUGGUUCAAAAAAUUGAACCACUGGAGUACUGCUUAUUCAGUUCUGUAAUUUGUCAGUUUACUGCUGUCCAGGAUUCAGGAGUGUGGGACGACACGGAGGAGGAACAACAAUCAAUUGUCUCCUAAAAAUGUCAGAAGGUUUCCAAAAACAGACAUUUUGCAAAACUUGUAUCUCCAUUUUAAAAUCCAAAAGGGUGUUUAUUGAAAAGUUAAAACAAAUUUACAGUAUAUAUUUACCAAUGUCAAUGACCUUUUGAAGAAAGACAUUUUGUUUUUAGUUACACCAAAUCAACAACCUGUUUAAAUAAUGUGCCGGCAAUCCUUGUGAAUUUUAAUGCAAAAACAUACAAUACAAACAGAAAGCAAAUCAAUCUGCAUCAGUAAUCAGGAGAGGAUUUAUUAAACAGCACAAAAUUCUUGGUAUUUCUACAUGUACACAAAAUCAUAAAUAACCCCAAAACCAAACUGUCACCCUCUCUGUACUGAUGGGAUCCAGAUCCUUAUGAUUUCAAUGCAAUAAGCCAGACUGUAGGAGCCACAUAUUUAUAAACCAUUUACAGUUGAACGAAACCACCUACAGUAUCAAGAGAUAGAAGAAGUUAGUCGUUCUGCAGAGUAGUUGUCAUUAAUUCUGGAUAUUGUAAAUACAAAAAGGAACCCUAUGUAGUUUCAUGUGCUAUUUACAACUGUCUUCUAAAAACAAGCUUUCCACCCUCACAAGUGUCUGGAAAAAAACAAAAAAUCUUUACCAUGGCAAACGGGUGUUUUUUUUUUUUUUCCUUUUCCAAAAUAUAAAUUUUCUACACAACUAAAGAGUCCUAUUUGAAGAGAAACCAAUUCAUUUCUACUUUCCACUGGAGAAGGUAGACAAAGAAAAACACUGGGGUCUUCUGGUGGCCAAUCAGGGAGCUCAUUCAUUUCAUACAAACCAACAGAAGCAGGACAGCUUGCUUCACGUACCUACUGUUAAAAUCACUCUCGUUUUUGCAUCAAUAUAUUUGGUUAUUUUUAUAUAUUUUAUCUAUGAUCGGUGAGCCGUUUGUGGUCAUCCAGCGACAGCACCCUCCACAUCUUCGGACUCGAGUGAAUCCUAUUAUGAAGCAUUAUCUCACAAAUUCAUCUUUCACUGGGAGCAUUUAGUCCAGUAUAUAUUUGUAUACCUCACUUCAACACUAGGUUCUGUUGUCUCUUCCAUUUUUGAAGCGUGACUAAAAGUACAGAAUCCCUAGAGGGACACUGUGGGAAAAAAUACUAAUUCUCAUGCGCACCAGAUAGAUUUUUUUCUCCCCUCCAAUGUCCCUUCAGGGAUUCUGUUCACAAAAAAAAAAAAAGAAAAGAGAAAUCAAAAACAUUUAAAAGACACAAAACACUCAUUAGCUACUAAAAAGGUCGCUUUAAAUAAAUCUAAAUUUAAAAACGAGUUCUGAUAUAUUGUUGAGGGUGAGAGGAAACAACUAAAAGAAACGUCUUCACAGGAGAUUUUUGCCCCCCUCCAAUAAAUAACAAUUGUGCUGAAAUCAAAAGUCAAGUUUUCCUCCCAUUACUGCAAAAAAAAAAAAAAAAAAAA